AACGGCCGCGGUAUCCUAACCGUGCGAAGGUAGCGUAAUCACUUGUUCUUUAAAUGAGGACUAGUAUGAAUGGCACCACGAGGGUUAAACUGUCUCCUUUUUUUAAUCAGUGAAACUAAUCUCCCCGUGAAGAAGCGGGGAUUCUUUUAUAAGACGAGAAGACCCUAUGGAGCUUUAAAUAAGUUAACACCUGCUACUAAUCUUCACUUUCCUGAACCACCACAUUAAGUAUAGCACCUCUGAUUAACAGUUUUCGAUUGGGGUGAUCAUGGAGCAAAAAUCAACCUCCACGACGAAAAGGAACACCUCCUUGAGCCAAAAGCUACAACUUUAAGCACUAAAAAACUAACGCACUUUGACCCAAUUCUUUGAGCAACGAACCAAGUUACCCUAGGGAUAACAGCGCAAUCCACUUUAAGAGCUCCUAUCGACAAGUGGGUUUACGACCUCGAUGUUGGAUCAGGGUAUCCCAGUGGUG
This 478-nucleotide ribosomal RNA is filed under the name Boana raniceps (Chaco treefrog). Its description in RNAcentral is "partial large subunit ribosomal RNA". It matches the Rfam family "Bacterial large subunit ribosomal RNA", at positions 1926 to 2555 of the family's 2925-position model. The record is from RNAcentral. Lineage: Eukaryota; Metazoa; Chordata; Amphibia; Anura; Hylidae.